AGGAAGUUUGGUUGAUGUACUUGAAGAGCCAUUAGGUAGUGAAAAAUAGUGUGGGGGAGUAGCUAGCCAUGAGGUUGGAAAUUUAGGCUUAGUCACACUUUCUGGAAGAUCGUGAAGCACUAAAGAAGUCACGCCAGGGACUUCCCAGUGGUCCAGUGGCUAAGACUCCGAAUUCCCAAUGGAGGGGCCCCGAGUUCCAUCCCUGGUCAGAGAACUAGAUCCUGCAUGCCACAACUAAAUAUCCCAAAUGUUGCAACUAAGGCCUGGUGCAGUCAACUAAUUUCCACAGCUCUCAGUUGUGGCAUGUCUGAUAGUUGCAGCAUGUGAACUCCUAGUUGGGACACGUGGGAUCUGGUUCCCUGACCAGGGACCCCACCCAGGCCCUCAGCAUUGGGAGCACAGAGUCCCAGCCCUGGAUCACCAGUUCCCUGGUGGUCUAGUGGGGCUAGGAUUCAGCGCUUUCACCACCACAGCCUGGGUUCAAUUCCCGGUCAUGGAAGUAACUUUUACGGCUCACCUGAUGGCUCAGCAGGAUCUUGAUUCCCCAAACAAGGAUCAAACCCACCCCCCAUGCAGUGGAAGCCCUGAACCUUAAGUUCCAAAGAUGUCAGUUUAAAAUAAACAGAGUGGACCCAUUUCUGACUCUCCCUUCCCACUGGAGUCUCGUCACAACUGCCAUAGGCUCACUGGUUCUUAGUCUUGCCAGGCAGCCACCGCUUCCCUCCACUGGGAGAGCGUGACCCUGCUACAUCAAAACAAGAGCAAGGAAGAGGAACUGGCCUUUGCUCCUGGAGAUUUGUCAGCUUCACCUCCGUGAAUUUUGUCCGUCAUCAGCACAAUCUUGCUAGGAAGCACGUGACUGCCCAAAGCCGGCAGGGCCCUCAAGGUCUCUGAGAUGGGCCUGGGCCUGUGGUCAGAGAGGCAAGUCUGCCCUCCCUCCUGCCUCGACUGUGUUUCCUUCACGGCAAGCCCUGACUCUUCCAUAUCUGACUUCAAGUCCUUGGCCUUCAGCACACUCUGUCAAAAUUAAUUUGACACCAAGCUGGCUUUCUCUAGAAAGUCUGGGAAACUUCUAAGCACGAGAGCAAGAUUCAUGUGGGAAGAAUUACCACAGCCCUUUCCUUAGGGCAGUCCUGAGAUUAGAAUCCUCUGUCUCCAGUGACAAGCCACUAAAGAAAGAAGCUGUUUAUCAAGGCUCAGGUGGGUAGAAAUAACUUGCUCAGAUUCUGGACGGCAGAGUCCAGCACGUCACCUGAUUUCCUGGCUCUGUUCUGUUACUUUGAUGGGAUGCCCUCUUCAAACCACAAACAGACUCUCAUCACCUCAAGAGCCUGCCUCUCUGUACACCUUUGCUCUGCUUGGAGAAGUUCUUCAUUUACUUCUGGAAUCAGCUGCUGGAUCUGUGCCAGCGCACCUCACCUUCUGGUCCAGGAACCGCAAGGCACAAGGAGCCUGCCAAGCUGGGAAGACAUCACAGAACUCAGUCCUGGUCGCCCGUUUGCUGCCAGAUUUCUUCGUAAGGAAGAUAGUUUCUGCCCAGACAGCAACAUAAUCUUCCCCCAAUCCCUGGCACAGAGGCUGGGCCACCGUUGUCAACCUGCUGUGAGAACACAUUUAAUAUAUGCUGUG
Long non-coding RNA from Bos taurus (domestic cattle), 1629 nucleotides. The record is from Ensembl. Lineage: Eukaryota; Metazoa; Chordata; Mammalia; Artiodactyla; Bovidae.